GACGAACGCUGGCGGCGUGCUUAACACAUGCAAGUCGAACGGAAAGGCCCUGCUUUUGUGGGGUGCUCGAGUGGCGAACGGGUGAGUAACACGUGAGUAACCUGCCCUUGACUUUGGGAUAACUUCAGGAAACUGGGGCUAAUACCGGAUAGGAGCUCCUGCUGCAUGGUGGGGGUUGGAACGUUUCGGCGGUUGGGGAUGGACUCGCGGCUUAUCAGCUUGUUGGUGGGGUAGUGGCUUACCAAGGCUUUGACGGGUAGCCGGCCUGAGAGGGUGACCGGCCUCAUGGGGACUGAGAGACGGCCCAGACUCCUACGGGAGGCAGCAGUGGGGAAUAUUGCACAAUGGGCGGAAGCCUGAUGCAGCAACGCCGCGUGCGGGAUGACGGCCUUCGGGUUGUAAACCGCUUUCGCCUGUGACGAAGCGUGAGUGACGGUAAUGGGUAAAGAAGCACCGGCUAACUACGUG
RNAcentral lists this ribosomal RNA (468 nucleotides) under uncultured bacterium. Its description in RNAcentral is "partial 16S ribosomal RNA". It matches the Rfam family "Bacterial small subunit ribosomal RNA", at positions 28 to 507 of the family's 1533-position model. The record is from RNAcentral.